Molecule: ribosomal RNA, 253 nt
Filed under: uncultured bacterium
Lineage: Bacteria
Description: partial 16S ribosomal RNA
Rfam family: Bacterial small subunit ribosomal RNA
Source: RNAcentral
CACGUAGGGCGCAAGCGUUGUCCGGAAUUAUUGGGCGUAAAGAGCUCGUAGGCGGUCUGUUACGUCUGCUGUGAAAACCCGGGGCUUAACCCUGGGCUUGCAGUGGAUACGGGCAGACUAGAGGCAGGUAGGGGAGAAUGGAAUUCCCGGUGUAGCGGUGAAAUGCGCAGAUAUCGGGAGGAACACCGGUGGCGAAAGCGGCGUGCUGGACCUCUUCUGACGCUGAGGCGCGAAAGCCAGGGGAGCAAACGGG